AUGAAUCUAACAAUUCUGCUGUUGUUCUUUAUUCCUGCUUCCAGAGGUGAUGUUGUGAUGACCCAAACUCCACUGGCCCUGCCUGUCAGUCUUGGAGAUCAAGCCUCUAUCUCUUGUAGAUCUAGUCAGAGCCUUGUACAUGGUAAUGGAAACACCUGUAUGUAUUGGCUCCUGCAGAAACCAGGCCAGUCUCCACAGCUCCUUAUCUAUCAGGUCUCCACCCGAUUUUCUGGGGUCCCAGACAGGUUCAGUGGCAGUGGGUCAGGCACAGAUUUCACACUCAAGAUCAUCAGAGUGGAGCCAGAGGAUUUAGGAGUGUAUUACUGCAUGCAAAGUUCAUACCGUCCUCCCACAGUGAUGCAAACCCUAACAAAAACAUUUUUGUAA
This is a non-coding RNA of Onychomys torridus (southern grasshopper mouse), 387 nucleotides long. NCBI's taxonomy places the organism in Eukaryota, Metazoa, Chordata, Mammalia, Rodentia, Cricetidae. The record is from the annotation of a RefSeq genome assembly.